UAGAUGCCCUCUCUGUUGGUGUGAGA
RNAcentral lists this non-coding RNA (26 nucleotides) under Mus musculus (house mouse). Lineage: Eukaryota; Metazoa; Chordata; Mammalia; Rodentia; Muridae. The record is from RNAcentral.